Molecule: ribosomal RNA, 473 nt
Filed under: uncultured bacterium
Lineage: Bacteria
Description: bacterial SSU rRNA
Rfam family: Bacterial small subunit ribosomal RNA
Source: RNAcentral
GAUGAACGCUAGCUACAGGCCUAACACAUGCAAGUCGAGGGGCAGCGGGAAGGAAGCUUGCUUUCUUCGCCGGCGACCGGCGCACGGGUGCGUAACGCGUAUCGAACCUACCCUUUACUCGGGAACAGCCUUGCGAAAGCAAGAUUAAUGCCCGAUGUUCCGCGUUUGCCGCAUGGCAAAUUCGGCAAAGAUUUAUUGGUAAAGGAUGGCGAUGCGUCCCAUUAGUUAGUUGGCGGGGUAACGGCCCACCAAGACGACGAUGGGUAGGGGUUCUGAGAGGAAGGUCCCCCACAUUGGAACUGAGAUACGGCCCAGACUCCUACGGGAGGCAGCAGUGGGGAAUAUUGGGCAAUGGGCGAAAGCCUGACCCAGCAAUGCCGCGUGAAGGAAGAAGGCCUUCGGGUUGUAAACUUCUUUUAGCAGGGACGAAGGAAGUGACGGUACCUGCAGAAUAAGCCACGGCUAACUACGUG